UUACGGCCAUGCCAUGCUGAAUAUACCGGUCCUCGUUAGAUCACCGAAGUUAAGCAUCAUUGGGCGCGGUCAGUACUUGGGUGGGUGACCUCCUGGGAACACCGCGUGCCGUU
Molecule: ribosomal RNA, 113 nt
Filed under: Caerostris darwini
Lineage: Eukaryota; Metazoa; Arthropoda; Arachnida; Araneae; Araneidae
Source: RNAcentral